RNAcentral lists this ribosomal RNA (1842 nucleotides) under human gut metagenome. RNAcentral describes it as "bacterial LSU rRNA". It matches the Rfam family "Bacterial large subunit ribosomal RNA", at positions 706 to 2548 of the family's 2925-position model. The record is from RNAcentral.
GGCGUAGACCCGAAACCAGAUGAUCUAUCCAUGGCCAGGUUGAAGGUGUGGUAACACACACUGGAGGACCGAACCGACUAGUGUUGCAAAAUUAGCGGAUGAGCUGUGGAUAGGGGUGAAAGGCUAAACAAAUCUGGAGAUAGCUGGUUCUCCCCGAAAACUAUUGAGGUAGUGCCUCGUGUAUGACUCCAGGGGGUAGAGCACUGUUAUGGCUAGGGGGACAUGGCGUCUUACCAAACCAUGGCAAACUCCGAAUACUUGGAAGUUUGAGCACGGGAGACAGAGCACCGGGUGCUAACGUCCGGACUCAAGAGGGAAACAACCCAGACCGCCGGCUAAGGUCCCUAAUAUUGACUAAGUGGAAAACGAAGUGGAAAGGCUAAGACAGUCAGGAAGUUGGCUUAGAAGCAGCCAUCCUUCAAAGAAAGCGUAAUAGCUCACUGAUCGAGUCUUUCUGCGCGGAAGAUGUAACGGGGCUAAGUCAAUAACCGAAGCCGCGGAUUCACACUUGUGUGUGAGUGGUAGGGGAGCGUUCUGUAAGCCUGCGAAGGUGACUCGUAAGGGUUGCUGGAGGUAUCAGAAGUGCGAAUGCUGACAUGAGUAACGUUAAAGCGGGUGAAAAGCCCGCUCGCCGUAAGCCCAAGGUUUCCUGCUCUACGUUCAUCGGAGCAGGGUGAGUCGGCCCCUAAGGUGAGGCUGAGAAGCGUAACUGAUGGGAACAAGGUUAAUAUUCCUUGACCACCGCUGAAUGCGAAGGGGGGACGGAGUAUUGAAGAUCAUCCGGGUGUUGGAUAUCCCGGUUUGCGAGCGUAGGAGGCUGACAGGCAAAUCCGUCAGCGAAUCUCCGAGGCGAAGCAUCGAGCUCUCUUUUGAGCGAAGUGAUUGGAUGUGCUUCCAGGAAAAGCCUCUAAGCUCCAGUUCAGCGGGACCGUACCGCAAACCGACACUGGUGGGCGAGCUGAAUAUGCUCAGGCGCUUGAGAGAACUCAGGAGAAGGAACUCGGCAAAUUGACACCGUAACUUCGGGAUAAGGUGUGCCUUUGUAGCGUGGAGGGAGAAACACCCCGAGCGCGAAGAGGUCUCAGAUAAUCGGUGGCUGCGACUGUUUAUUAAAAACACAGCACUCUGCAAAGACGAAAGUCGACGUAUAGGGUGUGAUGCCUGCCCGGUGCUGGAAGAUUAAUUGAUGGGGUGCAAGCUCCUGAUCGAAGUCCCAGUAAACGGCGGCCGUAACUAUAACGGUCCUAAGGUAGCGAAAUUCCUUGUCGGGCAAGUUCCGACCUGCACGAAUGGCAUAACGAUGGCCACACUGUCUCCUCCUGAGACUCAGUGAAGUUGAAGUGUUUGUGAUGAUGCAAUCUCCCCGCGGCUAGACGGAAAGACCCCAUGAACCUUUACUGUAGCUUUGCAUUGGACUUUGAACCGAUCUGUGUAGGAUAGGCGGGAGCCUGUGAAACCACAACGCCAGUUGUGGCGGAGGCGUCCUUGAAAUACCGCCCUGAUUUGUUUGAGGUUCUAACCUGGGACAGUCAUCCUGUCCGGGGACCGUGCAUGGUAGGCAGUUUGACUGGGGCGGUCUCCUCCUAAAGGGUAACGGAGGAGUGCGAAGGUACGCUAGGUACGGUCGGAAAUCGUGCUGAUAGUGCAAUGGCAAAAGCGUGCUUGACUGCGAGACCCACAAGUCGAGCAGAUACGAAAGUAGGUCAUAGUGAUCCGGUGGCUCUGUAUGGAAGGGCCAUCGCUCAACGGAUAAAAGGUACUCUGGGGAUAACAGGCUGAUACCGCCCAAGAGUUCAUAUCGACGGCGGUGUUUGGCACCUCGAUGUCGGCUCAUCUCAUCCU